CCUGAUGGCUUAGAUGGUAAAGCAUCUGCCUACAAUGCAGGAGACCGGGAUUCAAUCCCUGGGUCAGGA
Molecule: transfer RNA, 69 nt
Filed under: Bos taurus (domestic cattle)
Lineage: Eukaryota; Metazoa; Chordata; Mammalia; Artiodactyla; Bovidae
Also listed under: 4 other names
Rfam family: tRNA
About the family: Transfer RNA (tRNA) molecules are approximately 80 nucleotides in length. Their secondary structure includes four short double-helical elements and three loops (D, anti-codon, and T loops).
Source: Rfam by way of RNAcentral